AACCUGCCUCAUACACAUGGAUAACAUACCGAAAGGUAUGCUAAUACAAGAUGAUAUAAGAGAUUCGCAUGGAUUUCUUAUCAAAGCUCCGGCGGUAUGAGAUGGACCCGCGUCUGAUUAGCUAGUUGGUAAGGUAACGGUUUACCAAGGCGACGAUCAGUAGCCGACCUGAGAGGGUGAUCGGCCACAUUGGAACUGAGACACGGUCCAAACUCCUACGGGAGGCAGCAGUGGGGAAUAUUGCACAAUGGGCGAAAGCCUGAUGCAGCAAUGCCGCGUGAGCGAUGAAGGCCUUCGGGUCGUAAAGCUCUGUCCUCAAGGAAGAUAAUGACGGUACUUGAGGAGGAAGCCCCGGCUAACUACGUGCCAGCAGCCGCGGUAAUACGUAGGGGGCUAGCGUUAUCCGGAUUUACUGGGCGUAAAGGGUGCGUAGGUGGUUUCUUAAGUCAGGAGUGAAAGGCUACGGCUCAACCGUAGUAAGCUCUUGAAACUGGGAAACUUGAGUGCAGGAGAGGAAAGUGGAAUUCCUAGUGUAGCGGUGAAAUGCGUAGAUAUUA
Molecule: ribosomal RNA, 557 nt
Filed under: uncultured Clostridium sp.
Lineage: Bacteria; Bacillati; Bacillota; Clostridia; Eubacteriales; Clostridiaceae
Description: bacterial SSU rRNA
Rfam family: Bacterial small subunit ribosomal RNA
Source: RNAcentral